UUCUAUGGCGGGCCGCGCAGGGAGACCUUCGGGUCUGCCGGUCAAUGCUCCGGUUCGCCAACCUUGCGCGGCUUGCCACCCUU
This 83-nucleotide non-coding RNA is filed under the name Pseudomonas knackmussii B13. The record is from RNAcentral. Lineage: Bacteria; Pseudomonadati; Pseudomonadota; Gammaproteobacteria; Pseudomonadales; Pseudomonadaceae.